Molecule: long non-coding RNA, 2774 nt
Organism: Orcinus orca (killer whale)
Lineage: Eukaryota; Metazoa; Chordata; Mammalia; Artiodactyla; Delphinidae
Exons: 2
Source: RefSeq, a predicted model, not a curated record
UAUUCAUUAUAUUAUAUAAUUUUAUAUUAUAAAUAUGUAAUAGUCAUGACUAAUAUAUAAUAUAAAUUUAUAAUUAGUAUAUGUAUAAAUGAUAUAAUUAUAUUUACAAUUAUAUUGAUAAAUUUUAUAAAUAUAAAUAUAUAAUCUAUAAAUUUUAUUAAUAUAGGGGAUGUCUAGCAGCAAUUUACAAAUAAUAAGGCGUACUCUUUAAUUGUAGGUCCAUAGAGUCAAAUGAUUCCCAUAGGAUGCUUUCAUUCACUGAUUUUGCCAAACUCUUGCAAUCUCUGGUUGCCGCUGAUAAUAAAGUGUUGUUCUGACAUGAAUGCUGGUUAAAGUUUGUGUUUACGUCAAGGGAUAAGAUAAAACUCAAACAACAAAGGCCUAGGCCCUAACUUCAGUCACUUACCAAUGAUGUGAGAUAUUUUUUUGUAAUUUUUGCUAUUCAGAGGGCAAUGGCUACAGACAUGACACACUUUUCAGAUUAAUCUGCAUUUUUUUAACAUUUUUCUUCUUGAAAUGUUAAAGCCUAGACUUUCUUAAGUCUGGACAAUCACUAAAACACAACAAAUCAAGCCCCAAUUUGUAGCAUGGGCCAUUUCCAUGGUGUUAAUGCCCCACUGCCCUACCUAGAGGAAGAGGAGGGGGAGGGGAGGCAGCGGCCAAGACCGGGCUGCCCAGGGGUGCUUGGCCUGGGGGCGGGGGGUGGGGCUGGUUGCGGAACCACGCUGCACACACCAGCGGCACCUCUAGGAGAAAGACAAAGAGUGCCCUUCCCCGCGUAGUAGCUGUAAAUCAGCACCUCCUUUAAGGCCAGGGCUGCUCCUGAUUGAUCACCAUAGCCCCCACCCUGAGCCCAGCACACCUAGCCCAGAACAGCCUCUAAGUGGACAUGGGCUGAGUCACUGGACUCCUGCGGGAACUUGCCUUCUCUGGAAACCUGAACAAGUCAAACGAGACCAGUGGUCUGCUCAUCUGGAAGAUCUACCCUGAAGUGGGAUGGGUGGGGGGGACACCGUUCUAACACCUCACCUACCAGUCACGUGCCCUUCAGCAAGUGGCUCAGCCUCCUUGAGCCUCUAUUUCCCCACCUGUAAAAUGGGACGAGUGUGGUACGGGGAGAUAGCAAGGAGUCCUGGCAGAGAGCGGGCAGGGAGGAGGCGUUCACUUCAUCUCAGCCUUAAGACGCAGGACACAGAGCCUGCCCCCAGCCUUGCUGCAAGAAUCAAAGGAGGCAACAACAGGUCGGGCUGCUUUGAAAACUGUCCGAGAGAGAGGGAAGAAGCAAGCAAACAUUUAUUGGGGGCCUACUGUGUGCUUUGUCCACAUUUUAUCUCCUUUCAUUCUUUCAUGAACCCCUUCAGGUAGAUGCCAACACCCUAAAUUUACAGAAGAGGAAACUGAGACUUGGAGAGAUGAAGAGAUCGGCUCAAGGUCACGCUCCAAGUUCAACCCAUGUGGUCCUCGUAUGGAAGGAGGACCUUCUUCCUCUCCUUAGUGGUCCUCUUCUUCCACUAUACCGCACUACCUUCUGCAAGGGACUACGAUCUUACUUUAAGCUUGUUUUAUUUUUUUCUUUUUGGUUGUCACUUUUGAUUUGUAUAGCCAUAUUAUUAUCUAAAUACAAAGUGAAUUUAAAAAUCUAUUAUAUGGUGUCACAUGCCACAACAUGGAUGAACCUGGAGGACAUCACACUAAGCAAAAUAAGCCAGUAUCUAUUAUUUUUCAAGUUCUUUUCCCAUUUAGGUUAUUAGAAUAUUUAGAAUAUUGAGCAGAGUUCCCUGCGCUAUACAGUAGGUUCUUGCUGGUUAUCUAUAUUAAAUAUAGCAGUGUGUGUAUGUCAAUCCCAAACUCCCAAUUUAUCCCUCCCACACCUUUCCCCUUUGGUAACCAUAAGUUUGUUUCCUAAGUCUGUGAGUCUGUUUCUGUUUUGUAAAUAAAUUCAUUUGUAUCAUUUUUUUUUAGAUUCCACAUACAAGCAGAAUAUCAUAUGAUAUUUGUCUUUCUCUGUCUGACUUACUCUACCUAGUAUGAUAAUCUCCAGGUCUAUCCGUGUUGCUACAAAUUGCUUCCAUGUCUUGGCUAUUGUAAAUAGUGUGCAAUGAACAUUGGGGUACGUGUAUCCUUUCAAACCAUGGUUUUCUCUGGAUAUAUGUCCAGGAGUGGGAUUGCUGGAUUAUAUGGUAGCUCUAUUUUUAGUUUUUUAAAGAACCUCCAUACUGUUCUCCAUAGUGGUUGCACCAAUUUACUUUCCCACCGAAAGUGUAGGAGGGUUCCCUUUUCUCCACACCCUCUCCAACAUUUAUUGUUUGUAGACUUUUUGAUGAUGGCCAUCAGAAACACUACAAACAAUAAAUGUCGGCUAUCAUCAGCCAGGUGAGGGAAGGGAGUCCCAGGUUAUAUGAUCAGCUCAUGCACAAUUCUCUGAUUGGUUGAUGGUGAGGUAACAGAGUGGUAUUACUCUGUUAAAAUUAUUCAGUCCUUAAGCUCCAGUAGGUCUGGGGGCUACAUGCUCAUGGUCAUCAAGUAGUUAAUUUAUUCCAUUUAGUGGGGGUUUUAGCUUCUGUAAAACAACUCAGGAAAUGUGCAUCAGAUACUAUCAUCUAGGUACUUCAGACAGGAGCUAAAGCAGAGGAUAUGGGGGAAGGGUCUGUCCCAGGAAGGCCCCAUAGGGUCCUGCUUGGUUAUGGCACUAUCCCCUUUACUAUACACUACCAACGGUUGUCACUUGGUUUUCCAUUUUCAGCCACUAUAAAUAAUGCAGCAAUAAAUAUCUU